This 251-nucleotide ribosomal RNA is filed under the name uncultured bacterium. RNAcentral's name for it is "partial 16S ribosomal RNA". It matches the Rfam family "Bacterial small subunit ribosomal RNA", at positions 525 to 775 of the family's 1533-position model. The record is from RNAcentral.
ACGGAAGGUCCGGGCGUUAUCCGGAUUCAUUGGGUUUAAAGGGAGCGUAGGCCGCGCGUCAAGCGUGCCGUGAAAUGCCGUGGCUCAACCAUGGCACCGCGGCGCGAACUGUCGCGCUUGAGUGGGCCCGAGGCAGGCGGAAUUCGUGGUGUAGCGGUGAAAUGCUUAGAUAUCACGAGGAACCCCGAUUGCGAAGGCAGCCUGCCAGCGCCGCACUGACGCUGAAGCUCGAAGGCGUGGGUAUCGAACAG